This 253-nucleotide ribosomal RNA is filed under the name uncultured bacterium. Its description in RNAcentral is "partial 16S ribosomal RNA". It matches the Rfam family "Bacterial small subunit ribosomal RNA", at positions 524 to 776 of the family's 1533-position model. The record is from RNAcentral.
UACGAAGGGGGCUAGCGUUGCUCGGAAUCACUGGGCGUAAAGGGUGCGUAGGCGGGUCUUUAAGUCAGGGGUGAAAUCCUGGAGCUCAACUCCAGAACUGCCUUUGAUACUGAGGAUCUUGAGUUCGGGAGAGGUGAGUGGAACUGCGAGUGUAGAGGUGAAAUUCGUAGAUAUUCGCAAGAACACCAGUGGCGAAGGCAGCUCGCUGGGACGGUACUGACGCCGAGGCGCGAAAGCGUGGGGAGCAAACAGG